RNAcentral lists this long non-coding RNA (4278 nucleotides) under Portunus trituberculatus (swimming crab). Its description in RNAcentral is "uncharacterized LOC123498545". The record is from RNAcentral. Lineage: Eukaryota; Metazoa; Arthropoda; Malacostraca; Decapoda; Portunidae.
CGAAGGAAGGUGCAUGUGCAUCCCAUGUACUCGAGGUUUCGAGAUUUCAAGCGACCGGUUGUGUGUUGCACCGAAAAGAGAUCUUCAUGUCUGCAAGACAUGUGUGGCGGUACUACCCGACUCAGCCCAAGUUAACGGAACUGCAUGUGCUGGCACAAAGAGCUGAGUUGUUACUGUGUUGUUACUUACCUCCAUGAAGCAUGUCGCCAUAUCGAAGCCGCUAGCCGCAACUAUUGUCGGACCUCGUCUUGAUGAGUAGUGCAUGCUCCUUCCACCAGCACAAAGGAUCUUCGUCUUGGACAAUAAUGGGUUCCUCUAAGUACCAUCAUGUCCACAUUUUGCCCAACAGAUGGUGACAAUGGUGCUGCGGAUGAGGAAUGGAGCAAUAUGACAAGGAGCAAGGUCUGCUACCAUAAGAGCUUUGGAAGACGUGGUGCAAACUUCAGGGAACUUGAAAUACCAAAAUGAGAAUCUCGGGUCACCCAGGAGUUUACACAACCAUUUCAAUAAGGCACAGCAGUAAAUAUGCCAGCAACUCUUCCUUAUAAUGAGAAGGAAUUGACUACUGUGGACAAGAGCCUCACCUGUUCUUGAGACUAUUCAAGACUGAGAUCCAAGAGCCACUUUCGAGUAGACAGACUACAGAAUGCCACCUAAUGCACCAGGGUCGGACUACAGAAUUCCACUCAAUGCACCAGGGUAUGUAGCAACAGAGGUGUUGAAGGGAGAAAUAGGAUGGGUACCUUCAGAGAGGCAUGUAAGGGCAACAUUGAGAUUCAAGGAAAGAUUGGAAUGAUCAAAUAAUGCAAGUAAGUUAGGAAGUGUUUGUGGAAUGUUAGGAAUAGCAGCAGGUGGGGGAAGUGUGCCAGGAUGGUAGUGAGUGGUCUGUAAACUGCUUGGGCAUUAUUUCAACAAGUUGAGGGGAGGCAUGUUGAGAGUAACUUGUACAUGAGUUAGAAAUGGAGAGGGCUUCAAAUGGGAUGUAAGGAAGUGGGAGAAGUGAAGUGUAUGGGACAGAGAGGAUGUAAGGAAGUGGGAAAAGUGGUGUAUGGGACAGAGUGAGUAGAGGAAUAAGAUGGAAUAGAAGAGUACUUUGGAGUGGUAUAGAGGGAAAGUGGCCCCAAAGUAUGAAAAGUGGUAUGAUGGCAGUCUGGGUGAUCUCUUCCAAGCUUGGGCUCAGUGUAUGGAUGAAUGCAAGGUGCUACAGAUGGUCCAAGUCCUGUAACAUAGUGUGCCAUGGGAGAAGACAAAGUAAAGCACGCAAUGCUAGUGUGUUUAAUAUGCCAGAGACAGGAAUGAUAUAAUGCAAGUGGUGCUGAGGGAAUUGUGGAAUGCUAGGAUGUUGAAGACAAGAAGGGAAUGAAUGGUGGUGGUGCUGGGACUAUGUGGAGAGAGGAGUGAAAGUGGAAUGCUAGAUGUAGCGAUUAUAAAGAUGUCUGCCAAUACUAGGUCCUGCCUCAGGAGAUAUCCUGAGCCACCUGGGUAGCAUCAAGAUCACAGAUCAAAAUCAAAGAAAUUUUAGAAGAAUGCAUGGGCAGUGUAUGUGAAACAACUAACUUACAAGGCAAAUAAUAAUGAAGGCUUGAAAGUCAAGUGUGAAAGUGUGAUUGAAUCUUUGAGAAAGGCAUGGAAUGUGACUGUGAAUAAUGGUACAAGUUCAUGAGAUGAAUGUCAGGAAAUGUUGAUAUGGAGAGUCUAAAAGUUAAUGACGUUAUAAGAGAAGGAAGGAAUCAGGGAGCCAAUCAGAUAGUUCUGGGAAAGAAGUGGGUAGGUCUCCUGUGAGAGAAGGAUGUAUGACACUGGAGAGGAUGAAUGCUGAUGACGUAAAUGAGAAAAUCAGCAGGGAAGAAGAGAGAUGUGCAGAAGGAUUAGAUAGGAUACCUUGAGAUGCAUAAAAAUACUGGAAAGGUUAGGAAUGACAGGAUGACUUAACUUUUUAACUAGGUAUGAGAGGAGGAGAGUACUAAUAAUGUGGAGUGAAUGUUGGGAGACUUGCACAAGUGAGGAUCCCAGAGUAAAUGAGUUGAACUAAAAAGGCCAAUUGGAUUAGUAGUAGUGUUCAGUGCAGUGUUGAAUGAGAUUGUGUAAAUGGACUGAGCUAGCUGGAGUGUAAGGUGAAGAACUAACAUUUUUUUAGAUAUAGAGAGCAUAGAACAGGGUGGAUAGAGAAAUGUUAGGCAAAGCCUUAGGAAAGAGAUGAUAACCAACAUAGUGUAUACCAUGUAUGUUGAGACAAGAGCUACUAAAUACAGAACUAGGAAAUAUAGAAAAGGACUUGAGUGAAGAGUUAGAGAUAAGCUAGGCAAGGGUGUAUAUUGUCACCAACCGUUUUCAGCUUGUAUACAGAGGAGUUAUCAGCCAGAUUGAAAACAAUGAAUGAAUGCAAGAGUAACUGUGGGGAAUGAGAUGUUUGCUUUAUGUAGAUGUAGUGGUCAUGAGUGAAUCAGCAGAUGGGUUGGUUGCAAAGUUUGCUGGAUGUUGUGGAAAAGAUUUAGAAGCUAGGUUUCAUAGUGAGAAAAGUAAGGUAAUGAUAGUGAAUAGAUCAGAGGAUGAGAGUAAUGCAGUAUGGAGAAUUGGAGAGAACAAGUUGAAACAAGUGCAAGAAUAUAAGUACUUAGGGAUGUGGUUAAAGUCUUAGUGUGUAAAAAGGCAAAUAAUGAAAAGAUAAGCUUGGUGAAGCAAUGGGUAAUGCAAUUGGGAAGUGCAGCUAGAAUGAGAGCAAGUAAAUAUGAUGUGCUGUGAUAAGUGUAGAAGAGAGGGUGGCUAUGCCCAGUAUAAUGUAUGGUAUGGAUGUGAUUGCAUGGAAUGAAAAUGAAAUUGACAAGUUAGAAGUAGGACAAAAACGUACCGAGAAUGGCCACUGAAUGCAUCAAGGUAAACAGCAUUAUAAGCUUUGACAGGUGAUAUGAGAUGGAGCAACUUUGAGAGACUUUAUCAACAAGAAUAGCAAGAAAGGUGUAUGUCAAAUGAAAGUGGAACCAAAUGGAGAAAGAGGUGCAUGAGUAUGACAGUGAAGAAUGGAUUUCAAAAGUUGUGUGGGGGAUGAGAAUGGCUGGGAGGAAUCAAAAUGAGGCAUAAAUGAAUCCUGACAAGAGGAGGCAGAGUGGGAAUUCAAGGAUGUGAGGAAAUGAAAGAGUGAGAUGACAGAGGUGAAGUGGGUAGGACUAUAUAUGUGGAAGAAUGAGAUGAAACAAAAGAGUACACUAUUGCAGUGGUGAGUUUCUGGAGAAAAUGUGGUAUGCUUGAUGUAGGGAUAAUUAGUGAACAGAUACUGUCUUUUUUUUCUGCUUGUCCUCUACAGGUGUUGCCUACCUAUCCAGAGUCACUCUGGAGUAUUCCUAAGGCAUCUGUACUAUCAAGAUAAAGUACUUUAUUUUUCCAUGUACAUCAAGAUCAAGUAUACAAAAUGCUGCCAAGAUGUACAUGAGAAAAUAUACUUGAUCUUGAUACUACAGAUGUAGUGGAAGGAGAUGAAGACAAAACAUUUGCAAAAUUCUAAGCAAGAACAAGUUUGCUAAGAUGAAGCAAGCUUAUCAUCAUCCAUCCUGCUGACCUUUUUUAACUGUAUGAAUAUUAGAAAUAAAUUCAAAAUAAUUUCAUUCUUUAAAAAAUUAUCUGAACCAUUCUAAUAUCCCGUUAGGCUAGCAGAUAUUGCUAAUCUUUUCUGCUUGUGCCUUCUGACAUAGGUAAUGCAGUAAACAAGUAACCCCUAUCUUUUCGUAGGAGUCUGACCACCAUCUUUAAAUAGUUAAAAUGUGUUAUUGCAGACAUAUGUAUAUACAUAUCUCUUUUUCAAGAAAAAUACUGUAGAAAUGUGAACAUGUAUCUUGAACUGCUUGAAAACUUAAGACGAUUUUACACAUACAGGUCCCCUCUCCCCCACUGCAUGUAUAGUACUUGUUAUUCACAUCCACAUGAUUUAUUGUGUUGAGAGGGCUUGAUGUGCAAAGUGGGAGUUUACCAGAGGAAGGUAUGAAUGAUUUUGAGUGCUGGUUAAAACUCUUGUAUUAGAGAUUUGCACGAAGGCUUUGCCCGUGUACGAUCUGUUUCAGCAGGCAAACCAUCAAACUGUCCACUUCCGGCACCAUUAGAGGGCAGUGGAUAGUCCAGGAUGAAGGUCUUCCGUCACUGCCAAACGCACAAGUAUGGCGCGCACCAUGGUGAUCGUACCGUACUGAACCAUGCACUCACAACUCCUGCUGGCGUCCGACUGCCCUCCAACCACCACAGACAGCCGUGUGGACACCUUACGCGGGCAUAGUCUGCAGACUUUGCCUU